UGAGAGUCUGUCUAUUGGUCAGGGUGAGAGCAUUGGUGCUGCUUUAACUACAAGCUCCAGGUGAUUCUCAGGUGAGGUCAGGGUGAAGCACGAGGAUUCGCAGGCAUAUUUGGGAGGGCUGGGUCUGCCUUUCAGUAGAAGAGAUGAUGAUAGUCUGGCAGGGACUUGGAAGGGGCAGGUCAGUGCAGCCCCAUUCUCUGAGCUGUGGCAGGAAGUGUGGCUGUCUGUAGGAGGGGAAGACAUCUGAAACCGGGAAGGAGAAACUCACAGGUCUUGCUCUCUCUGGAUCUGGUCAAGAUUUCUGGAAAAGGAAAGAGCCCUGACAUGUGAAGAGCAAGGAGACAUUACCCACACAUGCAGUACCCUUCUAGUACUAUUCCAAAAUUUACAAGUACUCCAGAUGAUUCUGAUGAAAGCUAACUUUGACAGCCUCUGCAGGAACUAAGUCAGAGAUCAUCCUUGACUUGACCACAGGUGCCUGAGGGACUUAUUUCUGUCAUGAAGGACGUGGAAGCAGAGAGAAUGAGGGCACCUGCUGGAUGCACUGUGAUGGCUGCUCAGAAAACAGGUGAGCUUUUGUUUACACACUGGAGAGACUACAGAGCUGAGGACAACAGAGGAAGGUAUCAUGAGCUCUAAAGAACGUUCCUGGGAUUUCUGCACCUCACCUCAAGGUGCCCACCACUAUCCUGACACACUUCACACAAGAAGCAAAACAGAAGUCAGAAAUGCAUUAGCGUACAGUUCCUCAGAAACACAGAGAUUUCCGCAAGACCUCAAAGCAA
Long non-coding RNA from Felis catus (domestic cat), 785 nucleotides. RefSeq lists it as uncharacterized. The transcript has 5 exons. NCBI's taxonomy places the organism in Eukaryota, Metazoa, Chordata, Mammalia, Carnivora, Felidae. The record is from RefSeq and is a predicted model, not a curated record.